RNAcentral lists this long non-coding RNA (906 nucleotides) under Dasypus novemcinctus (nine-banded armadillo). Its description in RNAcentral is "lncRNA (ENSDNOG00000050393.1)". Lineage: Eukaryota; Metazoa; Chordata; Mammalia; Cingulata; Dasypodidae. The record is from RNAcentral.
CUUUAAAAGACGGAAGACAACCGGAGGAGAGCGCUGAGGGAUGAAGUGGGGACGAAGCUCGUGCCCAAUGAGGAUGCGGGCUUACGAUUCUUGGUCUCCGAUCCAAGAAACAAGUGCUUUGGGAUCUGCCAAACACUUCCCUUAGUUCCAUUCCUCCCCUUACCCCCGCCCCAGCACGUUGGAAGUUUGUGCGUGCCGAGUGCGCGCUUGUCGGUUGCAUGCUGGAAAUAAGUAAACGAAGUUACCUGAAAUCUUCGCCCCAGCGAUGACAUCCACCUGCCUGCCAAUUUUAGGGGUGGAGGUCUCCCCAGGGAGAGGCUAAGGAAAGUGGAAACCUGGGAUUUGGAGCAUUUCUGUAGGGAGCCCCGUUCCGUGGCCUUUCUAUUCAUUCCUCUUUCUUCUUGAUACCUAGGAGUCGCCUACUGAGGAGCACGAUUUGCACCCCAGCCUGGGGGUGUUUUAACAACAGGGUGCCUGACCCGGGCCAGCAUCUCCCCAGAGACCUUCAAGGAGGCCAGUGUGUUCAGACACAAAUUUUUAUUCAGACCCAUGUGAGGUGAGCCAGCCCACACGCCGGCUGACUGCGCACAAGGAGUGCCGUGCUACACAGGGGUGUCCCUGCGUAGGGGAUCCCAUGCACAAGGAGCGCGCCCCUCAAGGAGAGCCGCCCCAUGUGAAAAAAGUGCAGCCUGCCCAGGAGUGGCGCCACACACACGGAGAGCUGAUGCAGCAAGAUGACGCAACAAAGAGAGACACAGAUUCCUGGUGCCGCUGACAAGAAUGCAAGUGGACACAGAAGAACACACAGCGAAUGGACAGAGAGCAGACAACCGGGGAGGGGGAGGGGGAGGGGGGAAGGGGAGAGAAAUAAAUAAAAAAUCUUAAAAAAAAAUUUUUUUAUUCAGA